Molecule: ribosomal RNA, 351 nt
Filed under: uncultured Oscillospiraceae bacterium
Lineage: Bacteria; Bacillati; Bacillota; Clostridia; Eubacteriales; Oscillospiraceae
Description: bacterial SSU rRNA
Rfam family: Bacterial small subunit ribosomal RNA
Source: RNAcentral
AGAGUUUGAUCAGUGGCUCAGGACGAACGCUGGCGGCGUGCUUAACACAUGCAAGUCGAACGAAGCUUGAUGAUUGAUUUCUUCGGAAUGAUUUCUGAUAUGACUGAGUGGCGGACGGGUGAGUAACGCGUGAGGAACCUGCCUUUCAGAGGGGGACAACGUUUGGAAACGAACGCUAAUACCGCAUAACAUUACCGAGUGGCAUCGCUUGGUAAUCAAAGAUUUAUCGCUGAAAGAUGGCCUCGCGUCCAAUUAGCUGGUUGGUGAGGUAACGGCCCACCAAGGCGACGAUUGGUAGCCGGACUGAGAGGUUGAACGGCCACAUUGGGACUGAGACACGGCCCAGACUCC